RNAcentral lists this ribosomal RNA (444 nucleotides) under uncultured bacterium. RNAcentral's name for it is "partial 16S ribosomal RNA". It matches the Rfam family "Bacterial small subunit ribosomal RNA", at positions 339 to 795 of the family's 1533-position model. The record is from RNAcentral.
CUACGGGUGGCAGCAGUGGGGAAUAUUGCACAAUGGGCGCAAGCCUGAUGCAGCAACGCCGCGUGAGGGGUGAAGGCCUUCGGGUUGUAAACCUCUUUUAGCAGGGAAGAAGCGAAAGUGACGGUACCUGCAGAAAAAGCACCGGCUAACUACGUGCCAGCAGCCGCGGUAAUACGUAGGGUGCAAGCGUUGUCCGGAAUUAUUGGGCGUAAAGAGCUCGUAGGCGGUUUGUCACAUCUGCUGUGAAAAUCCAAGGCUCAACCUUGGACUUGCAGUGGGUACGGGCAGGCUAGAGUGCGGUAGGGGAGAUGGGAAUUCCUGGUGUAGCGGUGGAAUGCGCAGAUAUCAGGAGGAACACCGAUGGCGAAGGCACAUCUCUGGGCCGUAACUGACGCUGAGGAGCGAAAGCGUGGGGAGCGAACAGGAUUAGAUACCCCAGUAGUC